Molecule: transfer RNA, 62 nt
Filed under: Potamon fluviatile
Lineage: Eukaryota; Metazoa; Arthropoda; Malacostraca; Decapoda; Potamidae
Description: tRNA-Arg
Source: RNAcentral
AAUUAGAAAGCGAAUACUUGCAUUUAGUUUCGACCUAAACUUUGACUAUAAGUCUCUAAUUA